This 107-nucleotide ribosomal RNA is filed under the name uncultured Tepidanaerobacter sp. RNAcentral's name for it is "partial 16S ribosomal RNA". It matches the Rfam family "Bacterial small subunit ribosomal RNA", at positions 396 to 520 of the family's 1533-position model. The record is from RNAcentral. Lineage: Bacteria; Bacillati; Bacillota; Clostridia; Thermosediminibacterales; Tepidanaerobacteraceae.
GCCGCGUGAGCGAAGAAGGCCUUCGGGUCGUAAAGCUCAGUCAUUGGGGAUGAAAAGGACAGUACCCAAAGAGGAAGCCCCGGCUAACUACGUGCCAGCAGCCGCGG